Suricata suricatta (meerkat) is the source of this 1125-nucleotide long non-coding RNA. RefSeq lists it as uncharacterized. NCBI's taxonomy places the organism in Eukaryota, Metazoa, Chordata, Mammalia, Carnivora, Herpestidae. The transcript has 3 exons. The record is from RefSeq and is a predicted model, not a curated record.
UGGAGGCUGACGGGCCCCACGAUGGGCCGGUGGGGGGCUGGAGGCCAGGACAGCCCAGAGCCCGUUGGAGAGCCAGCAGCUCCAGACCCAGGAACACCUGCUGUUUUAGCUCAAGUCUGAAGAUUUCUGCAUGGCUUUACUAAAGAAAAGAGACUGCUUUAAGAUUAAAGCACGAACUUGUUUCACCAACAACCGCAGUUUUGGGGAGCCCAGCUGAGUCCCUUCGUCCGUGUCCCGGGAAGGGACCUUCCCGGGUGACGCAGACACAGCAUCCAAGGCGGGAGCGGCCCAGGAGACACACCAGGAGCCCCACGGGCCCCCGCUCCAGGCACUCCCGCGGACAGGGGCGCUGCUGGGAGCCACCUGCCGCCGCACCUGCGCGUCCACGAAGCAGGAGGCACGUCCAGGAGCGCCCCCUGCACUCGGCCCACAAGGAAUGCAGAACCGGUGGGGUCGCUGUGACAAGACACCACAGACGUAAAGACAGAGGCCUGUUUCCCAGCCGCCCAGGGUGGGGCACCCAGGCUGGGGCACCCGCACAAAGGAUGAGGGGCUCGUCUGGCCACAGGCACCCUCUGGGUCCUCUCCCGCCUCCCCUGAGGACUCUGAUCACCAGUCCCGCUCAUGGGGCUCCCCCCGGCCUCCCAGAGCCCCGGCCCCUGACACAGUCACCAUGGAGGCUGGGUCGUGAGCCGUGAGGACACCCCCACAUUCUGGGCACAGCCACCCCUGACCGUGCCAACCAGGAGGUGGCCUCACCCCGGGGACAAGGGACCGGAACCAGCGUGGGACCGCGGCCGCGCAGACUGCAGGAGGUGCCGGGGAUCGAGGACCCGAACCAGCCUGCUGAGCGGCCGCUGUCUCUCGUCCCUCCAAACCUGCGAGCUCUCCACCCUGACCCCUGCGAACGCUGGUCCUGUGCUCCUGCAGUGACUCCGGCGUCCCCUUCGCCCACGACCGCCUGGUGUCUUCUGUGUCUGCGACACUGGGGAUUUCCCGCUGGCCCCUUUCCAGGCGCCGCUCUCUGCGCGGCCGGGUCUAAACCGAGUCACACCCACUUCCUGGUCCGUGAAGGGGCUUACUGGAAUGGUUUGGGGAUUUCCUUCAUCAUCGUUGCUACUUCUC